UGCAGAAUCGUCCGAAUUUAGUCC
This 24-nucleotide non-coding RNA is filed under the name Arabidopsis thaliana (thale cress). Lineage: Eukaryota; Viridiplantae; Streptophyta; Magnoliopsida; Brassicales; Brassicaceae. The record is from RNAcentral.